GAGGUACCAUCUGUUUCCUAAUUUUAAAAGUAAUAAGUCAUGGAUUCUUUGCUAUUAUCUAAACAAUAUUUGAGGUAUGUGGUUUUAUUAUUUAAUUAUUGUCAGAAUUGUUUCUAGUGGUGUCUUUGUUGUCCCAUAGAAUAAUUUCAAGUGGCAUUAUCUUUUACAGUAAAUUGUUUGAAAUUAUGUCUCUUCAUGACCAUUAAUAUAAUCUGCCUGUUAAGUAUAAUAGUAAGAAAGUAAUAAAUUGGUUUUUUUAGCAUACAAUAAUCUAUACAAAAAAAAUCCCAAAGGUGCUAAGUGUAGUCUAUUCUGUUACUUAUGAACUGCUCAUUAAGAGAGCUGUUUGGUUUCAGGGAAGUUGCAUUGGACAUAAUUGACUUUGAUAUAACAGUAGUAUUGUUUCAGUUAAAUUGAUAUGGACAGCCAUUCUUCUAGAAUCCUUAAGCAUUUCAUCUCCGUAGUCCAAUUAAAGGAAGUCAUCAGAAAGCAAAAAUAUUUCAAAUCAUUCCUACAAAAUUUAUAAAUACAGUAUAACAUAAAAAAUUUACAUUCUUUUGGUAAUUGAGUCUGUUGCCUUUCCAGUAUAGAGUGAAUAAAAAGAUAUAAUGUGAUUCUUAUUCAAGGUUGAAAGUUGAAACAAAUCUUUUACUUAUGUUGAUAAUCUUAAGAUAAAUAUUCUUUUGUUAAAUUUUGUUAAUAGAUGAAGUUCAUAAUAUAGAACAGUAGUUACUUUCUUAUAACUAAAUGUGCUUUAAUCUGUUAUCGUAGUCAAGCAUAUCCAUUUAAAAUUUUGAUUUUGAGCCAAUUGAUGCCCAAAGUCUUUCUUGGUUGUUGUGAGUAUUAGGAGUGGAGAUGGCGAAUUACUGUGGUUUCCUCGUCAGUAGGUCUUAAAUCACAAAUCUUUUGAUACAGUUACUCACUAUUGGCAUCUACUAUCGGUCUAGAUGCUGUGUUUGUUAAACAUGUUCAGUUUUUUAGGGUGGAUAGAGACCAUGACCAUCUACUUUUUUUUUUCAUUUGUUUUACAUUCUCAAGCAAUUUAUAUAUAAAGAUUGCACAUAUUGUUUUAUGUUGUUGGUCAAUUCAUGCCUUCCAGAAGAGUACUGUUCUUUACAGCAGAGCUUGUCAUUUUCUCUUUCUUUAGACUCUUUGCAUUUCUACAGAAUUUGGCAUGGUUGCUUCAUGAUCUCAUGAACUGAAACUGCUACCAAUAACAACUCUUUCUAAGAUCAACUAGGUUUUCUAGGUAAGAAGUCAGUUCUAUUGCCUUAUCCCUAGGAAAAGUUGGCACCAACUUUCAUGUUAGUCAUAAUUUUAAAUUGUUCUCUAUUGCUAAUUUCUUAUUGCUUAUAUGGACAAGCAGUAUUUAUUUUGCUUGGCAAAUGCAUCUUAUUAUACUUUUAGGCAAGGUAAGUUGUUUGUUAGUUAACUGUUCAACCAUUUGGUCAACUGUAUCUUUUGGGGUGUAGCUAAAGUACUAAACAAAUAAUUUGGAUUAUGUAGAUGCAAUUUAUAUAAUAUUUGUUAAGAUAGUCGAGUAAACACUUAUUUCAAUAUUGCUUUCUUGCUGUUUUCUGUCUUUUAAGCUAUGAAUACUAGAUCUAGUUGUUGUCUUUAUGAUGGUGGAUGAUGGGUGACAAACCAUGUCACCAAAUAGACUCACCUAACCUACUAGAUUCGUCAAGUCUGCAUGCAGCCAUAAAUUGAGCGACCAACGUUUCUACUUCUGGCAUUGAUUGAGAAGACAUCUUAGAUGCUUGGUAGGUUUUUUUAUGAUGGUGGAUGAUGGGUGACAAACCAUGUCACCAAAUAGACUCACCUAACCUACUAGAUUCGUCAAGUCUGCAUGCAGCCAUAAAUUGAGCGACCAACGUUUCUACUUCUGGCAUUGAUUGAGAAGACAUCUUAGAUGCUUGGUAGGUUUUUUUGGCAACUUUUCAUAUGGACAUUGGUCCAUGAUUGAUGUCUGUAAUUAUUGGUGAAUAUCCAUGCAUUGUCACUAAAGUGUAUAGUCCAUGAUGAAGGUAUAUUGGAAGAGCAAGUUUAUUUGCUAAUUUUUUGUACAUAAUUUCUUCAUUAAUCUGUCACUUAAUGAACAUUUACACUUGUAGACAUCAUCACAUAUAGCUGAGGAUUACAAUGUUCCAUGGUCCUAGUGUUUUGUACUUUAGUAUUGCAUUAGUCAUCAGUUUUCUGGUUAAAGGAGCUUGGCAUCAGUUUUCUGAGGGCGUUCUGUUGAUUAUUAUACGUCUUCAGUUUCACGGACCUCAUGUAGAAAUGCUAGAUGCAUGUCUAUAAAUUGUAGAUCUAUCUAUAAAUGUUUAGUACCAUAUGCCAAGUGAGAGCAUAAGAGCCAGCUGGAGUAUUUCUUUGCUGGAUAAUAUGAGAAUAUUGUCUAAACUUCAAAUUGUAUGAAAAGUUGUUGAACUUGUUAUUUCAUUUCUCCAUUUUCUAUUAGAAAACGAGCAGUCAGUGAAGAAGGCUCUUGUCAAUGUGGGAUUAGGGGAUGGUCAAUAUACAAAUAGAGAGGCUGUUUUCACAACUCAAAACUCUGGUCACCUAGAUCUAAGAGGAACAAUCUUACUAUGACAACAAGGCCCAUCUUCUGUUCCAUUUUCUACUGGUACAUCAAAAUUAACAUUUUAAACAGAUUUAGUCAUAAAAGCAGCACUUAUGAUAAUGUAUCAAAUCGAGACCAAUUUGUCCUGUGUCAUGCAUUCUUAAAUUUCAAAUAUACCAGAAAGUGCUGAUAGAGAUUGAGUCUAUUUCACACUAUGAAGUAAUUUCUAUGGUUGGCUUUCAAACACUCGUCGCUUAUUUGCUACUUAGUAUGGACAAGUGCUUGUUGAAUUUAUUGUUUUUUGAGGCUUCCUGACCCAUUUGUUUUGUUUGUUGUUAAUACUUGUUUGUAGG
This 2916-nucleotide long non-coding RNA is filed under the name Musa acuminata (dwarf banana). RNAcentral describes it as "long non-coding RNA (MACU_LNC000758)". Lineage: Eukaryota; Viridiplantae; Streptophyta; Magnoliopsida; Zingiberales; Musaceae. The record is from RNAcentral.